Molecule: non-coding RNA, 30 nt
Filed under: Rattus norvegicus (Norway rat)
Lineage: Eukaryota; Metazoa; Chordata; Mammalia; Rodentia; Muridae
Source: RNAcentral
UCAUAUUCAUCUGAGAUGUGGUGGCUGAGU